This 468-nucleotide ribosomal RNA is filed under the name uncultured bacterium. RNAcentral's name for it is "partial 16S ribosomal RNA". It matches the Rfam family "Bacterial small subunit ribosomal RNA", at positions 28 to 507 of the family's 1533-position model. The record is from RNAcentral.
GACGAACGCUGGCGGCGUGCUUAACACAUGCAAGUCGAACGGAAAGGCCCUGCUUUUGUGGGGUGCUCGAGUGGCGAACGGGUGAGUAACACGUGAGUAACCUGCCCUUGACUUUGGGAUAACUUCAGGAAACUGGGGCUAAUACCGGAUAGGAGCUCCUGCUGCAUGGUGGGGGUUGGAAAGUUUCGGCGGUUGGGGAUGGACUCGCGGCUUAUCAGCUUGUUGGUGGGGUAGUGGCUUACCAAGGCUUUGACGGGUAGCCGGCCUGAGAGGGUGACCGGCCACAUUGGGACUGAGAUACGGCCCAGACUCCUCCGGGAGGCAGCAGUGGGGAAUAUUGAACAAUGGGCGGAAGCCUGAUGCAGCAACGCCGCGUGCGGGAUGACGGCCUUCGGGUUGUAACCCGCUUUCGCCUGUGACGAAGCGUGAGUGACGGUAAUGGGUAAAGAAGCACCGGCUAACUACGUG